UACGGGGGGGGCAAGCGUUGUUCGGAAUUACUGGGCGUAAAGGGCUCGUAGGUGGCCAACUAAGUCAGACGUGAAAUCCCUCAGCUUAACUGGGGAACUGCGUCUGAUACUGGAUGGCUUGAGAUUGGGAGAGGGAUGCGGAAUUCCAGGUGUAGCGGUGAAAUGCGCAGAUAUCAGGAGGAACACCGGUGGCGAAGGCGGGUCUCUGGGCCGUAACUGACGCUGAGGAGCGAAAGCGUGGGGAGCGAACAGG
This 253-nucleotide ribosomal RNA is filed under the name uncultured bacterium. RNAcentral's name for it is "partial 16S ribosomal RNA". It matches the Rfam family "Bacterial small subunit ribosomal RNA", at positions 524 to 776 of the family's 1533-position model. The record is from RNAcentral.